GUGGCAAAUGCAAAGACAAGCUGGUUAAAUCCCAGUUUUCCCUUCAUUUUCAGUCUCCAGGACUGUAAACCUGAGGACAGGACUGCUCUCCCUGCCUGGGCUGCCUCCUUUGCUGGCGUAUGUUUAGACAGAUCUAGAUCCGGAAAAUGAAAUAUCUGGGAGGCUUCCACUGCACUGCAAGAGAAAGAAAAAGCACCAUUUCCCCCAGAACUGAGGACAACUCUUGGCUGUGCUCAGAAGACUGCUUUUGUGGACCACCAGGAAUUUCCUGUGAUAGAAUAUCAGAAAGCUACUGGUGACUGGGAGGAGGUGACUUCACAGGGCAAAAGUUCCCUUUCUACAAUAAACAUUCUUAGUGUGGCCAUGUAGGAGACUUCCUACACAGACCCCACACCUAUGAGCCACUUGUCUUAUUGACACCAAACAAGCAGAGAAAGAAACAGAACAAUUUGUAAGAGGUUAUCUGUUCUUCAGAGUGAAUUUGCCUACGCGUUCCUAGGAUAUUAGCAUCGUCGUAAAAAGCAGUGAAGAGGAAGCUCACCUAGAAAGGAUUUUAAGAGAACAUAAGUUGUAUAAAGCAAACAGGCAAGCCAGUUCAACAGUUCCUAAGUGAGGGACAGAGGCUUGUGAAAUGACUCAAAGACACUUCAGCAUCUUGAAGGGGGAAGAGCAGGGCACCUCCUUGGCACCGUGAUCAGCCUUGUGCCCACAGGAGGCCUGGGAGCAGCAGGGGAAUGACCAACGCCAUAUUCCAAGAAGUCUACCUCUCCAACAGCCAUCGCAAAAGCCAUCGUUCAGAAGAGAGUUACUAAAGACAAAAACCAGACAUGCUUAAUCAGAGCAGGUGCACACCUAUGACCUAUCUGGUCUUCUACGCAUCUGGGAGACAGUGGUCCAAGGGAAGGGGGCAGCCAGGCAUCUACCACAAUGGGAGGUAGCCCUGCAAGCCAAGCUUCCUUAACAUUUCCUCUUCUGUCUCUCAAAUACUGCACUCUCCUCAACUUAACCUUUGAGACGGAUGCCCACCCACCAAAAUCUCAUUCUCAGGAGCUGUUGGCAUUAUCCCUGGUAAAUGGUAGAGGAUGGAUCCAUCAAAAGCUAAAGCAUCCCUGAGGCCCCAUCGCCUGCAAGGGACGAGGAGACAGCCAGUCCCACCCCCUUUAUCUUCAUGGGGCUGGAUUCGUCGGUUCUCCUGAAGGUUUCCAAGUAGAAGAGAAGAGCUUCGUCCAUUCCUUCCUUUUUCCCUUGUUUCUGUAUGAAGUGGAAUCACAGCAGGACUUUGAGCACCUCUUACCCCUUUUCUGAGGCAAAAUAGAGUUUGCUUUUGAUGUCAUUUCCACUGCCUCCCUGUGACUCACCCACUGCUGAUUCCACAGUGGCUGUCUUCUAGACUACAAGUGUGGGUGACCCAGGCUCCCCGUGACCACCAUGUCUGGUCAUAGUGGUCAAGCUGACAUCAUGGGCAGGGGACUCUAGGGACACGGUCCAGGAAAAGGAGCUAUCUGGUACAUGCACGACAGGACUCCAGACGCCACCUGUAUCCAAGGGUUGCUUAAAUCUUCAGAGGUUUCUCUGUAGCCAUCCCCCAAUUCAGAAAGCCCCCCAAGCAGAACUGCCUCGGGUAAGGGAACAAAGGACAUAUUGUAAGGUGUGGGGAAUGGGGCAAAGAGGCACACCAGUCUCCCGGCUUCUCAGAAGCUACAUAAGCUGCUCUUAGAGGCUGCUUUAUCCUGAAAUGCAGGCUCCUGUCCAGGUCUGCAGAGGUUCCCUUCCAGAGCUGCCCCUCCAUUUCUUACUGCUGUUUCUCCUUUCCCAGGAUGCCUGGGUUCAACCUUGACUUUCAUCCAUUGUUUUGCUUCCUUCUAGCCCAUCUCUUAACUUGUGGCUGAACCACUGCAAAUUACCGUUUACAAACACAUUUGUUUAGGUAUAAUAAACUGGCCUGACUUCUCUAUAGAAUAUGCAGGAAGGAUAUAUACAAUGGGACCCAGACAGAGACCAGGCCUGGAGGACUGAAGGAGGAACUAGGAGUGAUGUAAUCCAGAUCCAGGGCAGGCGGCCCCUCCCCUCCCCCUCUGUGACAGAGAACAAGGUGCAUCAUCUCGCCAGACCUCAGCCGGCUCCCUCCUUUGUGAACUAACAGUGUGUAAUCAGAGGGUGUCUCAGAAUUCAGGCUCUAAAAUUCCAGGUCAAUAAGAUGACUUCUGAGCACUUACCUAAUACCAGGCACAAAACGGCCCAGAUCCCUAGCCCCAUGAGCUUAGCAUAAUGGGAAGAGCUGAUAUCAAACAAAUAAUUAUAAACAAUAAACCUACAACAGUCUGAAUUACUACAGAAGAAAACUGAAAGUGCUCUAAAAGCAAAUAAUCCAGUCUGGAUAUUGUGAUGGCAUAAAUUUUUGCAACUACCCCAUAGCACUCACUGGAUUGAGGAAAUGGCAUCAAUGUACACGUGAAGGAAAUGUGCAGAAAAUCCCAAGUUUCAGUGGGAAACAUGGAAGGCCUAAUGAUAACACUGGGACCAGAACUUGGGACCAGAACUUGAAGGAAAAAAAGGUAAAGCAAAGGAGCCCAUUUAGGUUCUUACUUCCCAAGUCCACAGGCCCCUUUCAUUCUCAAGAAACUGAACCUCCCCCUGGGCACAGUCACUUUGUGGUGAAAUCUACAGGGGACCUUUUAAAGGGCAUAGUCAUCAGUGAAAGAAACUGACCGUGGCUGAUUCAAAUGGAAAGAUACACACUGAAUUGCUCGGUGUGGAGGCUAGAGAGCUGGGUCCAGAAAAUGGACAGGAACAAAGGCAAGUCAGGCCAGAGUCCAGCCCAAAUCACAGCACAGAACCGGACCAAUGUGGAUCAUGAGCAUGUACCUCAGGAGCUCAGGGUUCAGAUCCUGGAGGCAGACUCUUUUGUUCCCAUCCUAUCACCAACAAGCUGGGCAACCUUGAGUAAAUUGUUUAAAUCGUCUGCAAAAUUAAACGAAGAAAUUCCAGGGACACCUGGGUGGCUCAG
Molecule: long non-coding RNA, 3007 nt
Organism: Neogale vison (American mink)
Lineage: Eukaryota; Metazoa; Chordata; Mammalia; Carnivora; Mustelidae
Exons: 4
Source: RefSeq, a predicted model, not a curated record